GGCUAGCGCGUGGCAGGCAGCCGUGGUAAAAAGGGGGGUCCGGUGGUUAAGGGGAAUUAAUGGGAGUAAGGGGUGGGCAGGCGGUUUGUUAGGCGAGAGGUGAAAGCCCUGGGCUCAACCUAGGAAUAGCAUUUCGAACUGGCGAACUAGAGUCUUGUAGAGGGGGGUAGAAUUCCAGGUGUAGCGGUGAAAUGCGUAGAGAUCUGGAGGAAUACCGGUGGCGAAGGCGGCCCCCUGGACAAAGACUGACGCUCAUGCACGAAAGCGUGGGGAGCAAACAGGAUUAGAUACCCAGUAGUC
This 300-nucleotide ribosomal RNA is filed under the name uncultured Rhodothermus sp. RNAcentral describes it as "bacterial SSU rRNA". It matches the Rfam family "Bacterial small subunit ribosomal RNA", at positions 495 to 795 of the family's 1533-position model. The record is from RNAcentral. Lineage: Bacteria; Pseudomonadati; Rhodothermota; Rhodothermia; Rhodothermales; Rhodothermaceae.